This 28-nucleotide unclassified non-coding RNA is filed under the name Fasciola hepatica (liver fluke). The record is from RNAcentral. Lineage: Eukaryota; Metazoa; Platyhelminthes; Trematoda; Plagiorchiida; Fasciolidae.
GGUUCUCUGCCCUGUAUAUUAGUGCAUG